Molecule: long non-coding RNA, 427 nt
Filed under: Amborella trichopoda
Lineage: Eukaryota; Viridiplantae; Streptophyta; Magnoliopsida; Amborellales; Amborellaceae
Description: long non-coding RNA (ATRI_LNC000381)
Source: RNAcentral
GUCACGAUAAUUUUGCGACAAAAAUCAUCCGAUUUGGUCAUCGUUUAAGCAUUUUCCAAAUUGGAGAGGUCGUCGGAAAAUGGGAUUUCAGCAACCAGAAAAGUUGCUUUCUUUAAAAUCAAAAUUGGGUGUCUUUCGGUCUUCGAUCACACACAUAUUCUACCUCAAAACGAAGCCCUCUGAAAUACGAUCGCAACGGACCCAUAUUUGCAACGAUCUAGUGUCGAGGCUUCGAGAUAUGGCUUCUUGAACAAUGGGAUGUCUCUUCUUAAAAAUCUGCAACACAUGAGUUUCAAAACUCAAAUUCUAUCUAGAAAUUCUUUUGUCUCGAGCAUCAUCAUGAGACGUGUCAUAUAUAAAAACGAGGGGCUUGACAAGCUCCUAAACAUAUCAAAAUUUGAGAGCAAUUGGCCUUAAAAUGAGAAAG